RNAcentral lists this ribosomal RNA (253 nucleotides) under uncultured bacterium. RNAcentral describes it as "partial 16S ribosomal RNA". It matches the Rfam family "Bacterial small subunit ribosomal RNA", at positions 524 to 776 of the family's 1533-position model. The record is from RNAcentral.
UACAGAGGGGGCAAGCGUUGUUCGGAAUUACUGGGCGUAAAGGGCGCGUAGGCGGCCCGCUAAGUCGAACGUGAAAUCCCCAGGCUCAACCUGGGAACUGCGUCCGAUACUGGCGGGCUUGAAUCCGGGAGAGGGAUGUGGAAUUCCAGGUGUAGCGGUGAAAUGCGUAGAUAUCUGGAGGAACACCGGUGGCGAAGGCGGCAUCCUGGACCGGCAUUGACGCUGAGGCGCGAAAGCUAGGGGAGCAAACAGG